UUAAAAUUGUUGCAGUUAAAACGCUCGUAGUUGAAUUUCAAGGAAUCAAUAUUUUAAGUAAUGCUUUGUAUAUUUAUAACAAAGUUGUACGUUAAGAAUAAACGCCAAGCGUUAUAUUUUUUCUGUUACAUUUUGUUUUAUUAAUAUAUAUAUGCGUUCUUAUUAUAAAAAUGAUUCUUUUUAAAAUUCUUUUGUAUAAUUUUUUAUGCAUGGGAAUUUUGUUACUUUGAGUAAAUUAGAGUGUUCAAAGCAAACAGUUAAAACAGUUUCUGUGUUUGAAUACUACAGCAUGGAAUAACAAAAUUGAACAAGUCAGAAUUUUGUUCUUUUUUCUUAUUUUGGCUUAGUUACGAUUAAUAGGAGUAGCUUGGGGGCAUUUGUAUUCAGAUGUCAGAGGUGAAAUUCUUAGAUUUUCUGGAGACAAGCAACUGCGAAAGCAUUUGCCUAAAAUACUUCCAUUAAUCAAGAACGAAAGUUAAGGGAGUGAAGACGAUCAGAUACCGUCGUAAUCUUAACCAUAAACUAUGCCGACUAGGUGUUGGAUGAUAGAGUAAAAAAUAAAAGAGACAUUCAUAUAUAUGAGUGUUUCUUUUAGAUAGCUUCCUUCAGUACCUUAUGAGAAAUCAAAGUCUUUGGGUUCUGGGGCGAGUAUUCGCGCAAGCGAGAAAGUUAAAAGAAUUGACGGAAGGGCACCACCAGGCGUGGAGCUUGCGGCUUAAUUUGACUCAACACGGGGAAACUCACUAGUUUAAGACAAGAGUAGGAUUGACAGAUUAAUAGCUCUUUCUUGAUUUCUUGGAUGGUGAUGCAUGGCCGUUUUUAGUUCGUGAAUAUGAUUUGUCUGGUUAAUUCCGAUAACGAACGAGAUCUUAACCUGCUAAUUAGCGGUAAAUACACUAUAUUCUUAAGUGAAAUUAGAAUAUAGAUAAAUUGUGCUAAUUUUGAUUAAAAUAUUAGAAUGUUUUUUUUAAUAAAAACGUUCUUUUCCCUUUUUUUCUUAAUUAUGCAUAUUUAUUCUUUUUCUUUUUUCGCAUAAGAAUGUAUUUGCUUAAUUGUAAAGCUUCUUAGAGGAACGAUGUGUGUCUAACACAAGGAAGUUUAAGGCAACAACAGGUCUGUGAUGUCCUUAGAUGAACUAGGCUGCACGCGUGCUACACUGAUAUGUAUAACGAGUAUUUAAAAAUAUAUAUCUUGUUAUGUUAUAUGUAUUUCUAUAUGUAUGCAUACAAAGAAUAUAUAGUUUUCCUCCACUGAAAAGUGUAGGUAAUCUUUUUCAAUACAUAUCGUGAUGGGGAUAGAUUAUUGCAA
This 1308-nucleotide ribosomal RNA is filed under the name Plasmodium brasilianum. Its description in RNAcentral is "SSU rRNA". It matches the Rfam family "Eukaryotic small subunit ribosomal RNA", at positions 604 to 1589 of the family's 1831-position model. Lineage: Eukaryota; Apicomplexa; Aconoidasida; Haemosporida; Plasmodiidae. The record is from RNAcentral.